UACGGAUGGUGCGAGCGUUGUCCGGAAUCACUGGGCGUAAAGGGCGCGUAGGCGGCGCGGAUAGUCGGCGGUGAAAGCCUGGAGCUCAACUCCGGGUCGGCCGUCGAUACUUCCGGGCUUGAGCACUGUAGAGGCAGAUGGAAUUCCGGGUGUAGCGGUGGAAUGCGUAGAGAUCCGGAAGAACACCGGUGGCGAAGGCGGUCUGCUGGGCAGUUGCUGACGCUGAUGCGCGACAGCGUGGGGAGCAAACAGG
RNAcentral lists this ribosomal RNA (253 nucleotides) under uncultured bacterium. Its description in RNAcentral is "partial 16S ribosomal RNA". It matches the Rfam family "Bacterial small subunit ribosomal RNA", at positions 524 to 776 of the family's 1533-position model. The record is from RNAcentral.